This 2229-nucleotide ribosomal RNA is filed under the name Triticum aestivum (bread wheat). RNAcentral's name for it is "partial small subunit ribosomal RNA". The record is from RNAcentral. Lineage: Eukaryota; Viridiplantae; Streptophyta; Magnoliopsida; Poales; Poaceae.
AUGCGGGCCAGGGAGAUGCACCCGCUCUGCUGCCUCGCAGCGGACUACUGCCCCGGGGGCGGCGGCGCCGCCGAGGACGACGACGGGGACUGCUCCCCGCCGCCCGCGGACGGAGCGGCGGUGGCGGGGGUGCUGCACAAGUGGACCAACAUCGGCAGGGGCUGGCGCCCGCGCUGGUUCGCGAUCCGCGGCGGCGUGCUCGCCUACUCGAAGAUCCGCCGCCGCGUCGCGGCGGAGGAGACGCCGCCGCCGCCGCCGGCCGAGCUCGCCGUGGGCGCGGGCGUCAGGGUGAUCGGGGGCGCGGACCGCGGCGCCGGGGAGCGGCCCAUCGGAUUCGUCCAUCUCAAGAUCUCAUCAUUUAGUGAAAGUAAAUCAGAUGACAAACGGUUCUAUAUCAUUACCCCAACCAAGACACUUCAGCUGAGGACAGGUUGCGUUAAGGACCGUGUCGCUUGGAUUGAAGCACUUGUUUCAGCGAGAAGUGAAUAUUCUCUUGGUGGUAUUUUACCAAGUGACCGGAAUGGUGGAUCAUUUUCUACAGAAAAGCUAAGAGAUCGCUUGCAUGCUGAAGGUGUUGGUGCAGAAAUUGUUAAAGACUGUGAGCAGAUUGUUCAUUCAGAAUUUUCACAGUAUCACGUACAGAUGAAGCAGCGUUGUGAAUCGUAUUUAAGCUUUAUCGGCAGUCUUCCACGGGAACUUGAGGCAGUUAAUUCAGAAGAUGCAACUAUUCGUGGCAAUCCACAGUCGCAGUUGUUCAAGCCUGACUUUUCCAGCUCUGGAAAAUGUAGUGAAUACAGCAACACAGAAUCUUCUGAAGAUGCUGGUAAACAAGAAAUAGGGAGAAUGUCAGAUGAAGAUGAGUUUCAUUUCUAUGAUACAAGGCAAAGUUUUAGCGACGGUGUGGCUAGUCCUGAAUUGAAAGUGAGAUACUUAAAUUAUGGGAAUGAAGCUUGCAAAUUUGGUGACUCAUUAGCUGCCGACAAGACCAAUGAAGAUCUAUUAUCGUCUGCGAAGAGGCGCUCCAAGUUGCCUGAACCAGUAGAGAAGGAGAGAAGUGUUAGCCUUUGGUCCAUGAUCAAAGAUAAUGUUGGCAAGGAUCUUACAAGGGUCUGUCUUCCUGUUUAUUUUAACGAGCCUUUGUCGUCUCUUCAAAAGUGCUUUGAAGAGUUGGAGUAUUCCUAUUUAUUGGACCGUGCAUACGAAUGUGGUUUAACGGGCAAUGGUCUGAUGAGAAUUCUUUAUGUUGCUGCCUUUGCUGUCUCUGGAUAUGCUUCCACAGAUAGCCGGCCCUGCAAACCUUUCAAUCCACUGUUAGGGGAAACUUAUGAAGCUGAUUACCCUGAAAAGGGGAUACGUUUCUUCUCUGAAAAGGUUAGUCAUCAUCCGAUGGCCAUGGCAUGCCAUUGUGAAGGAAAAGGUUGGAAAUUUUGGGGAGACAGCAAUCUAAAGAGUAAAUUCUGGGGUCAGUCGAUUCAAGUGGAUCCUAGUGGCAUAUUAACCCUAGAGUUUGAUGAUGGAGAAACUUUCCAGUGGAGCAAGGUUACAACCACAAUUAAUAACCUUAUCAUUGGUCGAGUAUAUUGCCAUCACCAUGGCACAAUGAAUAUUAGUGGAAACAAAAAAUAUUCAUGCAAGCUGAUGUUUAAAGAGCAGUCUUUUCUCGAACGUAAUCCUCGCCAGGUUCAAGGCUUUGUUAAAGAUGCUGAUGGCACCAAGGUUGCAUCCCUGAUGGGCAAGUGGGACGAGAGCAUGUAUUGCGUUGUUAGUGAUGAUGCUUCUAAGCUGAGCUCUCAUAUUUCACAUCAGAGCGCUGGCGCUACCUUGUUGUGGAAGAAAAAUGAGCCUCCAGCAGAUCCCACUCGAUAUAACUUGUCAUCAUUUGCGAUUACUUUAAAUGAGCUGACUCCAGGGCUUAAGGAGAAGCUUCCACCAACAGAUUCAAGACUCAGACCAGACCAGCGACAUCUAGAGAAUGGGGAGUACGAAAAGGCCAACUCUGAGAAACUGCGCCUCGAGACCAGACAACGAAUGGCAAGGAACAUGCAGGAGAGUGGCUGGAAGCCAAGAUGGUUCCAAAGGGACAGCGAGCAUGGAACAUACCGCUAUGUCGGAGGCUACUGGGAGGCAAGGGAACAGACGAAAUGGGUUGGAUGCAGUGACAUAUUUGGCAGUUUCUGCGACAAUCCAAAGCCACGGGUGUCCACGCUGUACACCAGCGCGAGUGUCUAA